RNAcentral lists this ribosomal RNA (501 nucleotides) under uncultured bacterium. RNAcentral describes it as "partial 16S ribosomal RNA". It matches the Rfam family "Bacterial small subunit ribosomal RNA", at positions 28 to 526 of the family's 1533-position model. The record is from RNAcentral.
GAUGAACGCUGGCGGCGUGCUUAACACAUGCAAGUCGAACGAAGCAAUCAGACGGAAGUUUUCGGAUGGAAGACUGAUUGACUGAGUGGCGGACGGGUGAGUAACGCGUGGGUAACCUGCCUCAUACAGGGGAAUAACAGUUAGAAAUGACUGCUAAUACCGCAUAAGCGCACAGUAUCGCAUGAUACAGUGUGAAAAACUCCGGUGGUAUGAGAUGGACCCGCGUCUGAUUAGCUAGUUGGUAAGGUAACGGCUUACCAAGGCGACGAUCAGUCGCCGGACUGAGAGGUUGACCGGCCACAUUGGGACUGGGAUACGGCCCAGACUCCUACGGGAGGCAGCAGUGGGGAAUAUUGGGCAAUGGGCGCAAGCCUGACCCAGCAACGCCGCGUGAAGGAAGAAGGCUUUCGGGUUGUAAACUUCUUUGACCAGGGAAGAAACAAAUGACGGUACCUGGAAAACAAGCCACGGCUAACUACGUGCCAGCAGCCGCAGUAAAAC